This 408-nucleotide ribosomal RNA is filed under the name uncultured bacterium. Its description in RNAcentral is "partial 16S ribosomal RNA". It matches the Rfam family "Bacterial small subunit ribosomal RNA", at positions 29 to 526 of the family's 1533-position model. The record is from RNAcentral.
AGUGAACGCUUGCGGCGUGCCUAAUACAUGCAAGUCGGAGGAAGUGGCGCACGGGUGAGUAAUAUAUAUCUAAUCUGCCCCUUGCUGGAGGACAACAGUGAGAAAUGACUGCUAAUACGCCAUAGCAAGGGAGGAGAAUAAAUCGUAUAAGCUAGUCGGUGGGGUAACGGACUACAGAGGCUAUGACGCGUAACUGGUAUGAGAGGAUGAUCAGUAAAAUUUGACCUGAGACACGGUCCAGACUCCUACGUGAGGCAGCAGUAGCGAAUAUUGCGCAAUGGGGGUAACCCUGACGCAGCAACGCCGCGUGGAGUAUGUCACUUUUCGGAGCGUAUACUCCUUUUGUUAGGGAAGCGGUACCUAACGAAUAAGCACCGGCUAACUCCGUGCCAGCAGCCGCGGUAAUUC